GUCCAGGGAUGGGAAUCGAACCCACAGUGUUCCGCUUACAGGGCAGAUGCCAUGCCCACUAGGCUAUUCCUGGAAUACCCUGGA
RNAcentral lists this transfer RNA (84 nucleotides) under Cordylochernes scorpioides. RNAcentral's name for it is "tRNA-Thr". The record is from RNAcentral. Lineage: Eukaryota; Metazoa; Arthropoda; Arachnida; Pseudoscorpiones; Chernetidae.